CCUCUCUCUCCCUCUGUCUCGCUCUCUCCCAGGUAGUGAGUUAGGUCAUGUGAUCUAGCAGGGUAAAGGUGGACUGUAAUUCUGUCCCGCUGACUGAUUCCACUCUGACAGCCACUCAGCGAGGUGCCUCAGACGCUUUACCUGACUAAACUUCCUCCCAGCCGGCCUCAACUCCACUGGGACCCCAGCUGCCAUGUCCAUCAGCCGGAAGAACUGGUCGGCUCUGUCCCGUCUGGCCCGCCAGUGGACAGUGGAGGAUGAAGAGGAAGUGGAAAGGGAGAGGAGGAGGAAGGAGAGGAGCUAUAGCAGCACUGACCCCGACAAUGACCUUUCACCUGAAAACGACCUUUCUCCCCGACACACCCCCGGAAACCAACCCACCAAUGACAACGCUCCAAGCAUCACCAGGUCAGAGGUCAAACACCUGUUAUCACACACACAGACACACACACACACAGACACACACACACACACACUUCAAAGUGCGUUUUUCUCUGUAGAGAUGCUAGGGAGAACAGCAGUUCAUUAUGUGUGUGUAUUACAGUGCGGAGCUGCUCCAGCUGGACUUUGAGGAGAUGCUCAGUGUUCGAGACGAGAGGAGGAGGAACAGACACAUAGAGACUCUCAGACGACAGAAAGGAGAGGAGGAGGGGAGAGAUGGAGGCGAGGAGGGGAGAGAGGGAGGGGAGGAGGGGAGAGUGGAGCUAUUGGGGGAUGUGGAAGAAGGGGGGAGACAGACACCUCCAAUAGACACCACCAUCCAACCUUCACCCUCAACCCCACCCUCAUCCAUAUCUUCACCCAUACCCUCAACCCCUACCAACCCUUUAGACAGACAGCAGCAGAAUGGUUCUCAGGACCCAGGCCCAGACUCCAAACCUCCCUUCAAGUUUGUCAGUUCUCUGUCCAUCUCCUUUGAUAAGAGUCCCUCCCCCAGCGGGCAUACAAGUCCCAUGAGCCCCCUUUCUCCCACAACGCCGCUGUCCCCCACUAGAGGAGCUCAGAGCCCCACCCACUACGGACACACAGAGGGCAGUGUGGAUGGAUCCUCAGUUAGUUUGGAGCAGACCGCCAGACCAGCCUUCGCCAGACAGAGCUCUAGGACCGUCUCCUUCAGGAUGCUGAGGAAGAAAGAGGAGGAAAGCGUGCCUUUACAGAGGAGGUAACAGACACACACACACACACACAUUAGAUAAGCCCAAGCCCUACCCAUGCCCAUGACAUUCACCAUUGCCCGGUUGCUUCUGCCAAAUGUAAGGCCAUGUUUGAGAUAUUCUGAAAGACUGAAUGACUGGCCAUCAAGUGCAUGUCGUCACUUCCUGUUGAACGCGGAACGAGAGAGAGCUCGCUUUGUUGUUUUGAAAGUCUCUGUGUGUUCUAAAGAAGUGUUCUAUUGAAAAAGUUUGGUUACUAGCUAGCUACCUUUUGAGUUUGGAUCCCGCAACGCGAUUGGCAUCAGUUGCUGGGACCGCUACUAUCUGUCCUGCCGACCAAAGCUGGGUUUGAGGAGCUGCUUGGCGUAGUAGCUAGCCUAGCUGCCACUGUUAGCUGUUUAUCAAGCUAGAGGGGUUUCCUUGAGGGCUUGAAUGCAGCCCGGGCUUGUGGCUGUUCGGAU
Molecule: long non-coding RNA, 1615 nt
Filed under: Salmo trutta (river trout)
Lineage: Eukaryota; Metazoa; Chordata; Actinopteri; Salmoniformes; Salmonidae
Description: lncRNA (ENSSTUG00000014071.1)
Source: RNAcentral